UACGUAGGGGGCAAGCGUUAUCCGGAUUUACUGGGUGUAAAGGGAGCGUAGACGGUAUGGCAAGUCUGAAGUGAAAGCCCAGGGCUUAACCCUGGGACUGCUUUGGAAACUGUUAGAUUAGAGUGCUGGAGAGGUAAGUGGAAUUCCUAGUGUAGCGGUGAAAUGCGUAGAUAUUAGGAGGAACACCAGUGGCGAAGGCGGCUUACUGGACAGUAACUGACGUUGAGGCUCGAAAGCGUGGGGAGCAAACAGG
This 253-nucleotide ribosomal RNA is filed under the name uncultured bacterium. RNAcentral describes it as "partial 16S ribosomal RNA". It matches the Rfam family "Bacterial small subunit ribosomal RNA", at positions 524 to 776 of the family's 1533-position model. The record is from RNAcentral.